Long non-coding RNA from Myotis brandtii (Brandt's bat), 524 nucleotides. RefSeq lists it as uncharacterized. The transcript is spliced from 3 exons. Lineage: Eukaryota; Metazoa; Chordata; Mammalia; Chiroptera; Vespertilionidae. The record is from RefSeq and is a predicted model, not a curated record.
GAGGCCCUGGGACCAGAGAUUGAGCCUGCAACCAAGGUUUUCCUAUGAACAGCAUACCCUGGAGGGAGGAAAGCAGUUCACACUCACAGGAGGUGGAGAUCCACUGAUAAACAUGUAUCUGUUGUUCAAAUCAACAGAGACAAAAUAUGAAUAGCUUGAAUGAGCCAAGGUUUGCUUUUUGAAAAACCCCCUACGUCAGCACACAGUAGAAUGAGGAAAUGACACUGUUGAUCAAGGAAGAAGAACAGCCACAAUUAGAAAAUGAAAGUGAGAGUUAUUUCUUCAUGUGAGAAGGUGCAUUUGGCAAGACCCUUUGGAUGAAUGCUGUUUUAAGAAAGAGAGAGAAAAACCCAUGUUAUCAGCAAAGCUCAGCAAGAAAGAAGCACAUGGUGGCCCCGGCACCCCAGUCAUCCUCUGACCAGCACAGCCUUUCUUGAAUCCAGAGCUAGAUUCCAAAUAAACUUCAGACUGCCUCUCCCCAUUCUCUCCCGAGGUCAGCCACCGAGGCUAUCUGGGUCCCCUGA